GAUGAACGCUAGCGACAGGCUUAACACAUGCAAGUCGAGGGGUAACAGGGUAGCAAUACCGCUGACGACCGGCGCACGGGUGAGUAACGCGUAUGCAACCUGCCUAUAACUGGGGAAUAGCUCCCUGAAAGGGGAAUUAACACCGCAUAACACUAUUGAUUCGCAUGGAUUGGCAGUUAAAUGUAGCGAUACAGGUUAUAGAUGGGCAUGCGUGACAUUAGCUAGUUGGUGAGGUAACGGCUCACCAAGGCUACGAUGUCUAGGGGUUCUGAGAGGAAGGUCCCCCACACUGGUACUGAGACACGGACCAGACUCCUACGGGAGGCAGCAGUGAGGAAUAUUGGUCAAUGGGCGCAAGCCUGAACCAGCCAUGUCGCGUGCGGGAUGAAGGCCCUACGGGUUGUAAACCGCUUUUCCCCGGGAAGAAUAAGCCCCCGCGGGGGUGAUGCCGGUACCGGGGAAUAAGGAUCGGCUAACUCCGUGCCAGCAGCCGCGGUAAACAUACUCG
This 508-nucleotide ribosomal RNA is filed under the name uncultured bacterium. RNAcentral's name for it is "bacterial SSU rRNA". It matches the Rfam family "Bacterial small subunit ribosomal RNA", at positions 28 to 529 of the family's 1533-position model. The record is from RNAcentral.